Podarcis lilfordi (Lilford's wall lizard) is the source of this 77-nucleotide non-coding RNA. The record is from the annotation of a GenBank genome assembly. Lineage: Eukaryota; Metazoa; Chordata; Lepidosauria; Squamata; Lacertidae.
GAUAGCUCAGUCGGGAGAACAUGAGCCUCUUAAGAGACUCUUCAUCUCAAGAUUGUGGGUUUGAGUCCCACAUUGCA